GCACUGCUGACGAGUCCCAAAUUGGACGAAACAGCUGUCUAGUGC
Molecule: non-coding RNA, 45 nt
Filed under: Echinostoma caproni
Lineage: Eukaryota; Metazoa; Platyhelminthes; Trematoda; Plagiorchiida; Echinostomatidae
Source: RNAcentral